CCUACGGGAGGCUGCAGUGGGGAAUUUUGGACAAUGGGCGCAAGCCUGAUCCAGCUAUUCCGCGUGUGGGAAGACGGCCUUCGGGUUGUAAACCACUUUUGUAGAGAACGAAAAGUCUGUUGAUAAUACCGAUAGAUGAUGACGGUACUCUAAGAAUAAGCACCGGCUAACUACGUGCCAGCAGCCGCGGUAAUACGUAGGGUGCGAGCGUUAAUCGGAAUUACUGGGCGUAAAGGGUGUGCAGGCGGUUUUGCAAGAUGGAUGUGAAAGCCCCGGGCUUAACCUGGGAAAGCCAUACAUGACUGCAAGACUAGAGUGCGUCAGAGGGGGGUGGAAUUCCAAGUGUAGCAGUGAAAUGCGUAGAUAUUUGGAAGAACACCGAUGGCGAAGGCAGCCCCCUGGGACGCAACUGACGCUCAUACACGAAAGCGUGGGGAGCAAACAGGAUUAGAUACCCUGGUAAUC
Molecule: ribosomal RNA, 465 nt
Filed under: uncultured bacterium
Lineage: Bacteria
Description: partial 16S ribosomal RNA
Rfam family: Bacterial small subunit ribosomal RNA
Source: RNAcentral